AAUCAACGCUGGCGGCGUGCCUCAGACAUGCAAGUCGAACGAUUAAAGCUCUCUUCGGAGAGUGUAUAGAGUGGCGCACGGGUGAGUAACACGUAAGUAAUCUACCCUCGAGUGGGGAAUAACAACCGGAAACGGUUGCUAAUACUGCAUAAUGCAGCGGCACCGCAAGGUGACAGUUGUUAAAGAUUUAUCGCUUGAGGAGGAGCUUGCGGCAGAUUAGCUAGUUGGUAGGGUAACGGCUUACCAAGGCUACGAUCUGUAACCGGUCUAAGAGGACGGUCGGUCACACUGACACUGAAUAACGGGUCAGACUCCUACGGGAGGCAGCAGUCGGGAAUUUUGGGCAAUGGGCGAAAGCCUGACCCAGCAACGCCGCGUGAAGGAUGAAGUAUUUCGGUAUGUAAACUUCGAAAGAAUAGGAAGAAUUAAUGACGGUACUAUUUAUAAGGUCCGGCUAACUACGUG
This 465-nucleotide ribosomal RNA is filed under the name uncultured bacterium. Its description in RNAcentral is "bacterial SSU rRNA". It matches the Rfam family "Bacterial small subunit ribosomal RNA", at positions 32 to 507 of the family's 1533-position model. The record is from RNAcentral.